CCUACGGGAGGCAGCAGUGAGGAAUAUUGGUCAAUGGCCGGAAGGCUGAACCAGCCAAGCCGCGUGAGGGAGGAAGGCGCAGAGCGUCGCAGACCUCUUUUGCCGGGGGACAACAGGCCGGCCUCGUCCGGUCCUGAGGGUCCCCGGAGCAAAAGCCUCGGCUAACUCCGUGCCAGCAGCCGCGGUAAUACGGAGGAUGCGAGCGUUAUCCGGAGUCAUUGGGUUUAAAGGGUGCGCAGGCGGGCCUUUAAGCCGUCGGUGACAUCGCGGGGUUGACCCCCGCCGAGCCGGUGGAACUGGGGGCAGUGAGGGCGGCGGAGGCAGGCGGAAUGCGCGGGGGAGCGGUGAAAUGCAGAGAUAGCGCGCAGAACCCCGAUGGCGAAGGCAGCGUGCCGUGACGCCACGGACGCUGAGGCACGAAAGCGCGGGGAUCGAACAGGAUUAGAUACCCGGGUAGUC
This 459-nucleotide ribosomal RNA is filed under the name uncultured bacterium. Its description in RNAcentral is "partial 16S ribosomal RNA". It matches the Rfam family "Bacterial small subunit ribosomal RNA", at positions 338 to 795 of the family's 1533-position model. The record is from RNAcentral.